RNAcentral lists this ribosomal RNA (650 nucleotides) under Drosophila persimilis. Its description in RNAcentral is "eukaryotic LSU rRNA". It matches the Rfam family "Eukaryotic large subunit ribosomal RNA", at positions 99 to 636 of the family's 3401-position model. RNAcentral also lists the same sequence under 1 other name. The record is from RNAcentral. Lineage: Eukaryota; Metazoa; Arthropoda; Insecta; Diptera; Drosophilidae.
AGAAAUCAGUUCAGCACUAAGUCACUUUGUCUAUAUGGCAAACGUGAGAUGCAGUGUAUGGAGCGUCAAUAUUCUAGUAUGAGAAAUUAACGAUUUAAGUCCUUCUUAAAUGAGGCCAUUUACCCAUAGAGGGUGCCAGGCCCGUAUAACGUUAAUGAUUACUAGAUGAUGUUUCCAAAGAGUCGUGUUGCUUGAUAGUGCAGCACUAAGUGGGUGGUAAACUCCAUCUAAAACUAAAUAUAACCAUGAGACCGAUAGUAAACAAGUACCGUGAGGGAAAGUUGAAAAGAACUCUGAAUAGAGAGUUAAACAGUACGUGAAACUGCUUAGAGGUUAAGCCCGAUGAACCUGAAUAUCCGUUAUGGAAAAUUCAUCAUUAAAGUUGUAAUAUUUUAACAAUAUUAUAAUAAUAGUGUGCAUUUUUUCCAUAUAAGGACAUUGUAAUCUAUUAGCAUAUAACAAAUUUAUCAUAAAAUAUGACUUAUAGUUUAUUCAAAUUAUUAUGCUUGCAUUUUAACAUAGAAUAAAUGUCAUUAAUUUGAUAAAGUGUUGAUAAAUUAAAAUUAAUACAGUGCGUUAAUUUUUCGAAAUUAUAUAAUGGCAUAAUUAUCAUUGAUUUUUGUGUUUAUUAUAUGCAUUUGUAUGAUUAA